RNAcentral lists this non-coding RNA (335 nucleotides) under Arabidopsis thaliana (thale cress). The record is from RNAcentral. Lineage: Eukaryota; Viridiplantae; Streptophyta; Magnoliopsida; Brassicales; Brassicaceae.
UGCGUGCUCACUGCUCUAUCUGUCAGAUUCCGGCUCCGAUUCGGUCCCGGUCACGUUUUCUUCUUCUAAUUGUGUUCCCAUCUCUCACUUUCUCUCUCAUGUGUUCUUCAUCUCUCAAAGGUAUGAAAUGUUAUCUUGGGGUUUUCUUCUGGGGGAAGAGGUUUGGAUUAUCUAUAUCGAUAUUUUGGUAGCCACCCCUUUCAAAUUGGUCAUGCAAAGUCAAAAAGAGAUGAAUACUGCAGGGCUUUUGCGUAACCUAUUUGUAAUAUUCUGUGGUACUGAUUAAGAGUUGAUGUGCUUUGAUCUAUUUAAUUGAUUUCGUCAUGUUGCACAUA